Molecule: ribosomal RNA, 827 nt
Filed under: uncultured Atopobium sp.
Lineage: Bacteria; Bacillati; Actinomycetota; Coriobacteriia; Coriobacteriales; Atopobiaceae
Description: bacterial SSU rRNA
Rfam family: Bacterial small subunit ribosomal RNA
Source: RNAcentral
GAACGCUGGCGGCGCGCUAACACAUGCAAGUCGAACGAUUAAAGCACCUUCGGGUGUGUAUAAAGUGGCGAACGGCUGAGUAACACGUGGGCAACCUGCCCCUCUCAUUGGGAUAGCCACGGGAAACCGUGGAUAAUACCGAAUACUUCGAGACUUCCGCAUGGAGGACUCGAGAAAGCUCCGGCGGAGAGGGAUGGGCCCGCGGCCUGUUAGCUUGUUGGUGGGGUAACGGCCUACCAAGGCAAUGAUGGGUAGCUGGGUUGAGAGACCGACCAGCCAGAUUGGGACUGAGACACGGCCCAGACUCCUACGGGAGGCAGCAGUGGGGAAUCUUGCACAAUGGGCGAAAGCCUGAUGCAGCGACGCCGCGUGCGGGAUGAAGGCCUUCGGGUUGUAAACCGCUUUCAGCAGGGACGAGGCGAAAGUGACGGUACCUGCAGAAGAAGCCCCGGCUAACUACGUGCCAGCAGCCGCGGUAAUACGUAGGGGGCAAGCGUUAUCCGGAUUCAUUGGGCGUAAAGCGCUCGUAGGCGGUCUGUUAGGUCGGGAGUUAAAUCCGGGGGCUCAACCCCCGUUCGCUCCCGAUACCGGCAGACUUGAGUUUGGUAGGGGAAGGUGGAAUUCCUAGUGUAGCGGUGGAAUGCGCAGAUAUUAGGAAGAACACCAGUGGCGAAGGCGGCCUUCUGGGCCAUAACUGACGCUGAGGAGCGAAAGCUAGGGGAGCAAACAGGAUUAGAUACCCUGGUAGUCCUAGCCGUAAACGAUGGACACUAGGUGUGGGGGAAUAUUUCUUCCGUGCCGCAGCUAACGCAUUAAGUGUCCCGCCU